Molecule: long non-coding RNA, 687 nt
Filed under: Homo sapiens (human)
Lineage: Eukaryota; Metazoa; Chordata; Mammalia; Primates; Hominidae
Description: HSALNT0341164
Source: RNAcentral
CUGCGAGAAAGUAAACUUUGGGCACGACAAGUCAUGAAGUCGGCACGUUGGGGAGACACCGUGUCACAAUGACAAGGUUUCUAGUUCGUGCUUUGUUCAGAUUGCCCAGAAGCUGAUGAUCACAGAGAAGAGGUCAUAUUUGUCAUGAGAAAGCUUUCCUGCACCAGGAUUCAGUAAAGGCGUUUACCAGCAGGGCCCAUGGUGCCUCCAGAGGCAGGAUGGUGCUCAAAACCCAUCACUGAGGCCAGGAAGUGAGGACAAAAGUUGAGGGCUGCCCAUAGGAAAGAGAAAAAAUGCUCCCUUUGGGUUUCCAAGUAGUUACUGCUUAUUGUUGCAUCAGUCUUGCUCCUGACCACGAUGUGUUCCUUGUUCAUUCUCCUUGGUAUCCCACUGAUUGUGCAUCUAUGAAAAAGAAGACAGGAUCGGGGGUGGUGCAAAGAACAACUGCAUCCUUCUAGAGCUGAUGCCCUGGUGAGCUCUGAAGCACACUUAGCAGAGCCUGAAAUCUACUCUCCCUGUGGGGUGUUUGUGUAGCAUUCCUAUUAAUUAUUCAUUAAAUAUUUAGCAGAAUUUACCAGUGAAGCUAUCUGAACCUUUUUUAUGGGAAGGAAUUUUAUUAACCUCUUUACCUGUUGUAAGUAUAUUAAUAUAUUACCUUUCUUCUUGGAUUAAUUUUGAUAAUUUGUG